Molecule: ribosomal RNA, 799 nt
Filed under: uncultured bacterium
Lineage: Bacteria
Description: bacterial SSU rRNA
Rfam family: Bacterial small subunit ribosomal RNA
Source: RNAcentral
AGAGUUUGAUCAUGGCUCAGAACGAACGCUGGCGGCGUGGAUAAGACAUGCAAGUCGAACGCUGACAUUUAGGUAGCAAUAUUUGAAUGUUGGAGUGGCGCAAGGGUGUGUAACACGUGGGCAAUCUACCAUGAAGACUGGGAUAACUCGCUGAAAGGCGAGCUAAUACCGGAUGUGAAUGUAAAUUCAAAGUUGGGGACCGCAAGGCCUGACGCUUUAUGAUGAGCCCGCGGCCUAUCAGCUAGUUGGUGAGGUAACGGCUCACCAAGGCUAAGACGGGUAGCUGGUCUGAGAGGACGACCAGCCACACUGGAACUGAGACACGGUCCAGACACCUACGGGUGGCAGCAGUCGAGAAUUUUUCUCAAUGGGGGAAACCCUGAAGGAGCGACGCCGCGUGGGGGAUGAAUGGCUUCGGCCCGUAAACCCCUGUCAUUUGCGAACAAAUUGCUUCACCUAACACGUGAAUCAUUGAUUGUAGCGAAAGAGGAAGGGACGGCUAACUCUGUGCCAGCAGCCGCGGUAAUACAGAGGUCCCAAGCGUUGUUCGGAUUCACUGGGCGUAAAGGGUGCGUAGGCGGUGAGGUAAGUCUGACGUGAAAUCUCCGGGCCUAACCCGGAAACUGCGUUGGAUACUAUCUCGCUAGAGGAAUGGAGGGGAGACUGGAAUACUUGGUGUAGCAGUGAAAUGCGUAGAUAUCAAGUGGAACACCAGUGGCGAAGGCGAGUCUCUGGACAUUUCCUGACGCUGAGGCACGAAAGCCAGGGGAGCAAACGGGAUUAGAUACCCUCGUAGUCC